Trichonephila inaurata madagascariensis is the source of this 71-nucleotide non-coding RNA. Lineage: Eukaryota; Metazoa; Arthropoda; Arachnida; Araneae; Nephilidae. The record is from the annotation of a GenBank genome assembly.
GAGCGUAUAGUUCAGUGGUAGAGCAUUCAACUGCCGUUCGAGAGGUCCCGGUUCAAAUCCGGGUGUCCUCU